GACAGGAUCACAGGAAUCACAGAACUGCAUGGUUUUAUGUUCUGUCAAAGACAUCUGAAAACAUGGGCAGUAGCAACAACGGACUCAGAAUAAAGAGGAUAUGCCCCAGAAAAUUGGACUAAAUUCCUUCUAUACAAGAUCCUCCAAGACCUUGAGGUUAAGACAACAGCUGAAAGAGAGGAAAGUGAUCCAUUUUCUGACUACAUUUCCACUAGUGUUGUGGUGGGGAGUCCUGGAGAAAUUGCUUGGUGGGGCUGUAAAAGACAGAAGGCAGUACAUCAGCCCUAAGCAGAAGAACAAUAGGUCCAUCAGUCUGUGUAAAUAUGGCACCGUGUAGCUCUAU
Molecule: long non-coding RNA, 343 nt
Filed under: Rattus norvegicus (Norway rat)
Lineage: Eukaryota; Metazoa; Chordata; Mammalia; Rodentia; Muridae
Description: long non-coding RNA NONRATT012826
Source: RNAcentral